Molecule: ribosomal RNA, 483 nt
Filed under: uncultured bacterium
Lineage: Bacteria
Description: partial 16S ribosomal RNA
Rfam family: Bacterial small subunit ribosomal RNA
Source: RNAcentral
AUUGAACGCUGGCGGCAGGCCUAACACAUGCAAGUCGAGCGGAUGAAGGGAGCUUGCUCCUGGAUUCAGCGGCGGACGGGUGAGUAAUGCCUAGGAAUCUGCCUGGUAGUGGGGGAUAACGUCCGGAAACGGGCGCUAAUACCGCAUACGUCCUGAGGGAGAAAGUGGGGAUCUUCGGACCUCACGCUCUCAGUUGAGUCUAGGUCGGAUUAGCUAGUUGGUGGGGUAAAGGCCUACCAAGGCGACGAUCCGUAACUGGGAUGAGAGGAUGAUCAGUCACACUGGAACUGAGACACGGUCCAGACUCCUACGGGAGGCAGCAGUGGGGAAUAUUGGACAAUGGGCGAAAGCCUGAUCCAGCCAUGCCGCGUGUGUGAAGAAGGUCUUCGGAUUGUAAAGCACUUUAAGUUGGGAGGAAGGGCAGUAAGUUAAUACCUUGCUGUUUUGACGUUACCAACAGAAUAAGCACCGGCUAACUUCGUG